GAACUGAAGAGUUUGAUCCUGGCUCAGAUUGAACGCUGGCGGCAUGCCUUACACAUGCAAGUCGAACGGUAACGCGGGGCAACCUGGCGACGAGUGGCGAACGGGUGAGUAAUGCAUCGGAACGUGCCCAGUAGUGGGGGAUAGCCCGGCGAAAGCCGGAUUAAUACCGCAUACGACCUACGGGUGAAAGGGGGGGAUCGCAAGACCUCUCGCUAUUGGAGCGGCCGAUGUCAGAUUAGGUAGUUGGUGGGGUAAAGGCCUACCAAGCCGACGAUCUGUAGCUGGUCUGAGAGGACGACCAGCCACACUGGGACUGAGACACGGCCCAGACUCCUACGGGAGGCAGCAGUGGGGAAUUUUGGACAAUGGGCGCAA
This 375-nucleotide ribosomal RNA is filed under the name Burkholderiales bacterium. RNAcentral's name for it is "bacterial SSU rRNA". It matches the Rfam family "Bacterial small subunit ribosomal RNA", at positions 1 to 380 of the family's 1533-position model. The record is from RNAcentral. Lineage: Bacteria; Pseudomonadati; Pseudomonadota; Betaproteobacteria; Burkholderiales.